AAACCCUAAUCCAUAUCAAAAAUCAAGAAAAUCAUAUUUUUGACCCUCUCGCGGGCCGCGUAAAGCACAAGAGGACCCUUACGCGGGGCGUGUCAACUUGAGAGUUGACCGGAUAAGCAUCCGGGGCUACGUGUCACCCACGUGGCACACCUACUCGUGACCCAGCAAACCUAUACGUAGACUAGACCUCCUCGCGGGCCGCGUAAAGUUUGUCUUAGGGCUCACGCGGGCCGCGACAACCCCAGAAAUCACCUAUAAAUAGCUUGGAUCAGGAGCUUUCAUUCUGUGUCGAAAUCAAUUCACAAAAACGAAGUUAUACUGUUAGAAAUCACAAUUUCUAUUAGCGAGGCGCUGCUACGAUACCGGGUAUUAAUUCAAUCGCUGCUACGAUUCAAUAUCCGAUCGAUUGAAACUAUCCGAGGGAUGUUUAAGUUACAAGGCUAAUCAGUAGGCUAAACUCUGCCCGUUUAAACCUGCAAU
RNAcentral lists this long non-coding RNA (480 nucleotides) under Helianthus annuus (common sunflower). The record is from RNAcentral. Lineage: Eukaryota; Viridiplantae; Streptophyta; Magnoliopsida; Asterales; Asteraceae.